AGCGUCUUAGCGCAGCGAUAUUUGCUCGUCUGAUGUUGUGAAUUGCUGAUACGUGUUAAUGUUUGUCUUUUAGAGAUUCACGUUUUUCUGAUACGAAUGUCAUGCAUUAGGCGGAGGCAUCAAGGAUCCAGUUUAGAGUGUGGGACAGUGCAAGUCGUCUGAGAAAAUCUGCAGCUUCCUUAUAAAAGGCAAAAUCACCUUUCAUGUUGAAUAGUCAAAUCUGAAAAAGGACAGUAUAGAGAGUGCACAAAUGGGAGAGAGAGGAGGGGACUCUUUCAAGGAUAACCUGAAGCACAUCCACGCUAUAUGUCAGAGCACUGCACAAGGCUGUUGGUUCUGACAUUUUAUCUGAAUUUGAAAAAACUAUUUUACUUAAAAUAUUAAAUGCAUUUAAUUUAAGGCAGGGUUUUUCCUGCAUAGAGAAUUUCAAAGCAACUGUGUCUGUCAAAUUUAGUGCCUUCUCUGGCUGUCGACAUAUGCUCCUAUCACCCUUAACCCAUGGUUGCAGGUUCCAUUCUCAAACUGUUUUACCCAUUUCCAUUGCAAAAAUAUAAAAAUCUCUUGUAAUGAGAGGUCGACCAACAAUGUUUUUUCACUGGCCGAUGCUGAUAUUUAGAAAUCAGGGUGGCCGAUGACUGAGAUAUGAUGCAGAUUUUUGGACCGAUAUUUUUGGCCGAUUUUCUUAUACCAUUGAUAUUCUAUUUUUUUUUUUUUUUUAGAUGCACCUGUACUUGUUCUGCCUUUGGGACUAAUCACAGUUGUGCUCAAGUCUAAUCAAAUGAGCUAUUUUUGUCUUAUUUUCUCAUAUCCCAUGUGAUCCAGUUGGGUCAGUUUUUCAUUAAUAUGUUUGUCUUAAGCUGUGUUAAAUAAGAAGUGUAAAUACAGAAUGUUCAUUUACUUUUGGCUAGACUAUGCCUUUAAGUGAACCAGAAUCUGCUAUCAAAUCAUGGUCAUAUUAUAGUUACAAUUACAUUUAAACUGGACAGUUUAUUUAAUAUUUUGGAUACCUGAAGAACUGUAACACUUGCCAUCGUGAUGCUAAAAUACAUAAGUAUUAUUAGAAAGAACAAUGGUAAAUGCAAUUGACUUAUGGCAUUGCCUUUUAAUUAAGGGAGCAGAAGCAGAAAGUGUGCCACAAGGAAAAUGAACAGGAGUUUAAAUUCUGAAUGUCUUUAUUAAAAUAAAAUCCAGCCAUGGUGUAAAAAUUAAAUGUGAUCCACACCUCAAAAUGUAAACAAAUAAAAACAAAUGUUAUCAAAUAUAUAGUGUUACUGUCACAAUUAUUGCACUGCUUGAGUAGCAAAGAACCCAGAUAAGGAGUAACUCAAACACUGGUCUUUAAUAAUACAAAACCAAGGUAUAACACAGGGCAGGCAGGAGUACACACAAAGAAACACGUAUUCAUUCAAUACCAGACAAACAGCAAACGCUAAAGCUGGGACUUAAAUGCAUUAGAGGAUGGAUGAGAUGCACCUAGGAUCAAUAAACAUAAUAAACAUGAGGGAAAACUGGGUCAUGGAAAACACGUGGGGAACAAAAUGCCGUCUAAUGAUUGAGAUGGCUAAAUGCUACAUUAAAGGUAAAUGUUUUAUUUUAUCAGUGCCUUAUAAUUCUUAUAUUACUUUUUUUUUUGUGGAGAGAACAUAUGACAUAAAAUUACAUUUAAUUUCACUCGUUUGCUAUAUGGAAGAAAAUUCAUGCCACACUGAAAUGCAAUCAAUCAUUACAUUAAACUAUCUUUGGGAUCCGAAAGGAAACUAUUUACCUUUCUUAUGGCCAACAUUACCUGUGGUAUAAGUUCUGAUCUGUGAAAAAAUAAAUAAAAUAAAAAAACAACUGGAAAAACAAACGAGCAUUAUAUUUAUAUGAUAAUGUUAUUUAAACUUUAAGCUCUUAGUUUAAAGCGCCUUUGGAUAAUGACAGUUUAGAAAUCCUGUAAAAUAUUUUUAGCCAACUAGAUGUUAGGCCUUAGUUACUUUAAUCUUAAAACAUAAACAUAAAGGUAGAGUAUAUUUUAUUUAUUCUGACUUAGGGCCCUAUCUUGCACUCAGCGCAAUUGACUUUGUACACCGACGCAUGUGUCAUUCCUAUUUUGCACCCGCGCAA
Carassius auratus (goldfish) is the source of this 2106-nucleotide long non-coding RNA. RefSeq lists it as uncharacterized. The record is from RefSeq and is a predicted model, not a curated record. The transcript has 3 exons. Lineage: Eukaryota; Metazoa; Chordata; Actinopteri; Cypriniformes; Cyprinidae.